AAGCAAGCUUUGGCUGGGGAAAGAGAUCUGAGAGGCUGCAAAACACUGAUAUGGCUGUCUAUCUCCCAAGCAGUCAAUGGCCAGGAGAAAGAGGAAAGAAUUCACAUUCAAGUCCACUGACUACGGGUGACUUCAUUCUGUAAUCGAGACACAUACCUGGUAGAACCAGAAGGAUGCCUUUGCGCAUCACAGCCUCCAGCCCAAACUCUGAGCAUCCGGACUUCCAGCAAGAAGCACUCAGGCCAGGUCUGGGUUCCUCCUGAGGAGAUCUAGCAGUUGUGCUGUGAAUGGAGCGCUCUGUGUUUCAUACCCUAAACAAGAGAAAGAAAACAAAACCUGAAGCCCAGGGAAAUGAAAGAUCUUGGCAGUAUUUCUACCACAAGAAAGCAGCUCUCCAGGACCCAGGCUUUCUCAGGGCAGCUACAGCAUUUGAUAUUACAGUGGAGAGAGACUAAAACUCAUAGCUGAUGCUAAAAAAAAUGUCACUGGAACUAAGACCACAUAUCCUGACACCCCUCGAACUUCAGCUGCCAUUGCCCCAUCUUCCCAUGGCAAUAGAAGCUGUAUGGAGCCUCCUGUGUAAACGCUGGUCUCAUCUUUUCAAAGUCUAAAAUUCUAAAUCUUAAGCUGUUUAAGAGCCUUGUCCUUUCAAGUUUAACAUUUAUUAAAGGAGUUGAAGGGGAGCAA
Molecule: long non-coding RNA, 687 nt
Organism: Grammomys surdaster
Lineage: Eukaryota; Metazoa; Chordata; Mammalia; Rodentia; Muridae
Exons: 3
Source: RefSeq, a predicted model, not a curated record